This 443-nucleotide ribosomal RNA is filed under the name uncultured prokaryote. Its description in RNAcentral is "bacterial SSU rRNA". It matches the Rfam family "Bacterial small subunit ribosomal RNA", at positions 355 to 796 of the family's 1533-position model. The record is from RNAcentral.
UAGGGAAUAUUGUUCAAUGGGCGAAAGCCUGAACCAGCCAUGCCGCGUGCAGGAUGACGGCCUUCUGGGUUGUAAACUGCUUUUAUAUGGGAAGAAAAAGAUCUUGCGAGAUCAAUUGCCGGUACCAUAUGAAUAAGCACCGGCAAACUCCGUGCCAGCAGCCGCGGUAAUACGGAGGGUGCAAGCGUUGUGCGGAUUUAUUGGGUAUAAAGGGUACGUAGGCGGAUCUUUAAGUCCGUGGUGAAAGCCUACAGCUUAACUGUAGAACUGCCAUGGAUACUGGAGAUCUUGAAUUCAGUUGAGGUAAGCGGAAUUUAUGAUGUAGCGGUGAAAUGCAUAGAUAUCAUAAAGAACACCUAUUGCGAAGGCAGCUUGCUGGACUUGAAUUGACGCUGAGGUACGAAAGCGUGGGGAGCGAACAGGAUUAGAUACCCCCGUAGUCC